Molecule: non-coding RNA, 1111 nt
Organism: Lepisosteus oculatus (spotted gar)
Lineage: Eukaryota; Metazoa; Chordata; Actinopteri; Semionotiformes; Lepisosteidae
Source: RefSeq, a predicted model, not a curated record
CACAACUGUGAUUUUUUUUCCCAAAAAAACUAGAACGAGUCUCUAAAUUAAUCAACUCGGUCACCCUGCACUGUUUAAAUGUUUAAAUCACUAUAUAACCAUCUCUGAGAUCCAGAUCAUCCAGUUGGAAAGCAAUAUGGAUAUGAUUGUGACACUGCUGGCUCCAGUCUGAUCUGAGCAGACAGGAACACAUUUAACCCAUCCGGUCCGUCUGGUAGAUAGCAGUAAAUCGACCCAAGGAUCGCUUUCAUCCGUGUCUUGAAACUAAGAGCUUGAACAGACUUACUCAGAUAUUGGCACUGUUGGGCAGGAUAUCCCAAAAAUAGGCACAGGACGUUCAUGGGACAGCUCGCCCACAUGUGCGGAGAGCCGAAGACGAACUGGCAGGCUUUGUCUGAUCUCGCUCCUGGCAGUCCUGUGCUGCCUGGCUGUAGCUCUGCCGAUAACUCUGCUUACCUCUCUCUCUCAAUCUGCAGGAGAGUCGAACUACUCCUGUGAGGAGCCCUGGAGGCUGUUCAAGGACAAGUGCUACUUCCUGUCUGAAGACAAAAUGAACUGGAACAGGAGUCGUGACAACUGCACUUCAAUGCACAGCCACCUUGUCGUUAUAGACAGCCAAGAGGAGCAGAACUUCACGAGUGGGGUGCUGCCCCCAAACGACAGGGCCUGGAUCGGCCUGACAGAUCAGGAAGAGAAGGGACGCUGGCGCUGGGUGAACAACAAAGCUUUGCAAGAGAAUCAAAAGUACUGGCAACCUAACCAGCCUGAUAACUUCAAGGGCAAAGAUUCCUUAGAGGCGGAGCACUGUGUAGUGAUGUACAAAGGAACUAAUUUGCAGAAUUGGAAUGAUGCCUACUGCUCUGCCAAUAGGACGAGACUGUGUGAGAGACCUGCAGUGGAUCUGAAUGCCUAGCUGAGCUGAAGGAGUUCAGUGUCUGUCCUGCACAGCAGGAAUAGAGACCUGGGGCUCUUUUCUACUUAUAAGAAUCAGACAUGUACUGUAGCAUCGUCAACUUAACAUCCCAGUUCCUCCUGGAAAUGCAUUCAGAUGUACAUAGAAUGACCUUUCAUGCUGUUACUAAUGGCCAAUAAAAACAAAAAAAACGAAAAA